GAACGCUAGCGGCAGGCUUAACACAGUGCAAGUCGCGGGGCAGCGCGGGUAGCGAAGUACCGUGGCGGCGACCGGCGGAAGGGUGCGUAACGCGUGAGCAACAUGCCCGUAUCAGGGGAUAACCGAUGGAAACGUCGCCUAAUACCCCAUAACAACGGUUUUCGCAUGAUGACCGUUUGAAAGUUACGCGGAUACGGAUUGGCUCGCGUGACAUUAGCUUGUUGCGGGUAACGGCCCACCAAGGCUACGAUGUCUAGGGGUUCUGAGAGGAAGGUCCCCCACACUGGAACUGAGACACGGUCCAGACUCCUACGGGAGGCAGCAGUGAGGAAUAUUUGGUCAAUGGGCGCAAGCCUGAACCAGCCAUGCCGCGUGCAGGAAUGAGGCCCUAUGGGUCGUAAACUGCUUUUGCUGCGGAGCAAUAAGUGCCACGUGUGACACGAUGAGAAUACGCAGCGAAUAAGCAUCGGCUAACUCCGUGCC
RNAcentral lists this ribosomal RNA (483 nucleotides) under uncultured bacterium. Its description in RNAcentral is "bacterial SSU rRNA". It matches the Rfam family "Bacterial small subunit ribosomal RNA", at positions 31 to 509 of the family's 1533-position model. The record is from RNAcentral.